AUGAAUCAGAUCCCAUCUGCUAACUAGAACUCAACUCUGAGGAAAAUCAGAGCAAUUGCCUUUUUAUACUAUGCCUUGAGCUUGAAACUCUUCCUUCUAGUCUACCUACGUCAUUCUUUUGAAGUGAAGCAGAAAGCAGAUGGACACAAGUUCACUAAAACAGCAGUUAGGCCCUUUCCAUAUGCCCCUACUAUAGCACUCGAGGA
Molecule: long non-coding RNA, 206 nt
Filed under: Elaeis guineensis (African oil palm)
Lineage: Eukaryota; Viridiplantae; Streptophyta; Magnoliopsida; Arecales; Arecaceae
Description: long non-coding RNA (EGUI_LNC069410)
Source: RNAcentral